Molecule: long non-coding RNA, 853 nt
Organism: Colossoma macropomum (tambaqui)
Lineage: Eukaryota; Metazoa; Chordata; Actinopteri; Characiformes; Serrasalmidae
Exons: 6
Source: RefSeq, a predicted model, not a curated record
UGUAUAUAGGUGAGUUCGUGUGAUUUUCCUAUUCAAGCUGGUCAGAUCAUUAGCGUGGAGCUGUAAUACCUCCGCUGUCCAGCAGGGAGCAGCAGCGCACUUUAAGAAACACCAUCUCCUGAACAUGACAGAACCGUAUAAUGUACAGGUGUAACUGGUUUUCAUGUGUAGGUGUGGGUAUUUGACUGUCUGUACAAGCGAAUGUUUUGUGUUAACGUUUUUUUCUGUCUGUACAGGUACUGUAAGUUACUGUGACGAUACUGACACCUUUAGGUAAAGCUUUUUUAGACGUCGUUGAUAAAAGAAGUGAAUCCGAGGGACAAGCUGAACAAAAAGGAUGAUGACUCCACCUAAAAGGAGAGUUGAGGACUGGCAGAAUCUUCGUGAACAGUAUUUGAGUAAUAACAUAGCAAUGAAGAAAGCUGGAAGCUCCACAACUGCAGAUAUGAAGUAGUUCAGGAAGGGAUUGCCGUGAAGGUUGUUGGUGUUCAGAAGCAGUCCAUACAGGAGCGAAGAUAACCUCUGGAGCGGAGAUCUUGUUUUUCUGCGCCGCUUGUUUUAGAAUUGCUUCAGCCUCGUCUGUCCUGCCCUGAGAGAGCAACCACCUAGGGGACUCUGGAAUUAACCUCAAAGUGAAAACAUUUAGCAGGCAGUGCAUGGAACAGAGCCAGUUUAAAUACUCCGUCAGAGACAUCACAACCCCUGGUUCCUGUCACCAACCACUGUAAAGAAGGCUGAGUCGGUCCCAGGGAAGUGAAAUCAGAACGAGGAUGUGAGUGGGCUUCACACCGGAAACAGCAUCACAUCUCCAGCUAGAUUUUCAGAAAGUGUUAAGGAGGACAGGGGUUUUCCA